This 785-nucleotide ribosomal RNA is filed under the name Montanelia panniformis. RNAcentral describes it as "eukaryotic LSU rRNA". It matches the Rfam family "Eukaryotic large subunit ribosomal RNA", at positions 85 to 872 of the family's 3401-position model. The record is from RNAcentral. Lineage: Eukaryota; Fungi; Ascomycota; Lecanoromycetes; Lecanorales; Parmeliaceae.
AACGGGCGAGGGGAAGCGGCAAUAGCUCAAAAUUUUGAAAAUCCGGCCCCCGUCGGCCCGGAGUGUAAUUUGUAGAGAGUGUUUCGGGUGAGACCCACGGUUUUAAGUCCAUUGGAACAGGGCGUCAUAGAGGGUGAGAAUCCCGUAUGUGANCUGUGGCUCGAACCCAUGUGAAGCCUCUUCGACGAGUCGAGUUGUUUGGGAAUGCAGCUCAAAAUGGGUGGUAAAUUUCAUCUAAAGCUAAAUACUGGCUGGAGACCGAUAGCGCACAAGUAGAGUGAUCGAAAGAUGAAAAGCACUUUGGAAAGAGAGUCAAACAGUACGUGAAAUUGUUGAAAGGGAAGCGCUUGCAACCAGACCUGUGCGUAGGUGAUCAGCCGCUGUUCUCAGUGGUGCACUCGCUCUGCGAUCAGGCCAGCAUCGGUUUCGGCGGUCGGAUAAAGGCCUUGGGAAUGUAGCUUCCCUUCGGGGGAGUCUUAUAGCCCUCGGUGCAAUGCGGCCAGCCGGGACCGAGGACCGCGCUUCGGCUAGGAUGCUGGCGUAAUGGUUGUAAGCGACCCGUCUUGAAACACGGACCAAGGAGUCUAACAUCUAUGCGAGUGUUUGGGUGUCAAACCCAUGCGCGGAAUGAAAGUGAACGGAGGUGAGAACCCUUAAGGGCGCAUCAUCGACCGAUCCAGAUGUCUUCGGAUGGAUUUGAGUAUGAGCAUAAAUGUUGGGACCCGAAAGAUGGUGAACUAUGCCUGAAUACGGGUGAAUGUCCACGAGGAAAUCUUUGCGUGGAG